Molecule: ribosomal RNA, 474 nt
Filed under: uncultured bacterium
Lineage: Bacteria
Description: SSU rRNA
Rfam family: Bacterial small subunit ribosomal RNA
Source: RNAcentral
AGAGCGAACGCUGGCGGCGUGCCUAACACAUGCAAGUCGAACGAGAAAGUGGAGCAAUCCAUGAGUAAAGUGGCGACCGGGUGAGUAACACGUGACUAACCUACCUUCGAGUGGGGGAUAACCUCGGGAAACCGGGGCUAAUACCGCAUAAAAUCUUUGGAUCGGAAGAACUGGAGAUCAAUGGAGCAAUUCGCUUGAAGAGGGGGUCGCGGCUGAUUAGCUAGUUGGCGGGUAAUGGCCCACCAAGGCUUUGAUCGGUAGCCGGCCUGAGAGGGCGCACGGCCACACUGGAACUGAAACACGGUCCAGACUCCUACGGGAGGCAGCAGUGGGGAAUUUUGCGCAAUGGGGGAAACCCUGACGCAGCAACGCCGCGUGGAGGAUGAAGUCCCUUGGGACGUAAACUCCUUUCGACCGGGACGAUUAUGACGGUACCGGUGGAAGAAGCCCGGCUAACUUCGUGCCAGCAGCCGC